UUAUUUAUUAAUUAUUUUCUUUUUUGUUAUCCAGUCUUGCGCACUCAGAGUUAUCGAGCGUGUUUUAUGACAAGGUUCUCGUUCUAUCUGCGGGGUUCAACAACAUUGUAAUCUUAAUAGUAGGCAUCAUUGUUUUCAUUUUCGCUACCGUUGGUGUGUUGCUGUUGAUGGAGACUUUAAGUGCUUUCCUUCACGCACUGCGUCUUCAUUGGGUCGAGUUCCAAAACAAGUUCUACGAGGGAGACGGCUACAAAUUCCUUCCUUUCUCAUUUGCAUUGCUAGAUGAAGAUGAUGAAUAAUAAUAUUCAGUUUCAAUAUGAACCCCAUGAGAGAAAAGCUCUGUUUUGGUUUGGUUUGUGCACAGAAGUGGUUUGUAUUGAUUUUUUAAUUUAAAUAUGGUAAGGUAAUUGCCACUGCCAUUGCUCUUGUUGAGGAGUGCCCAAGCCUGAGGUUUUGGGCAUUAGCACUAGUUCUUUUUUAAUGGAAAAUAAACUGGGUUCUUAGACAGGCCCCAGUGUCUUUAUAAGUGGUAUCACCGAUGAGCUAGUGUAACAGACAAGGUUAUUGAGUCAGUCUCCCUUAUAUUUAUAGGCAUUUAUGCCUGCGAACAUUUAUGAAAUCAAAUGAAGAGGAUCGAACAAUUUCUUUGUACU
Cucurbita maxima (winter squash) is the source of this 653-nucleotide long non-coding RNA. RefSeq lists it as uncharacterized. The record is from RefSeq and is a predicted model, not a curated record. The transcript is spliced from 2 exons. Lineage: Eukaryota; Viridiplantae; Streptophyta; Magnoliopsida; Cucurbitales; Cucurbitaceae.